GGGCAUGUGGCUCAAUGGUAGAGUACUCACCUGGCAUGUGUGAAGUCUAGGCUUCCAUCCCCA
RNAcentral lists this transfer RNA (63 nucleotides) under Ictidomys tridecemlineatus (thirteen-lined ground squirrel). RNAcentral describes it as "Spermophilus tridecemlineatus (thirteen-lined ground squirrel) tRNA". It matches the Rfam family "tRNA". From Rfam's summary of the family: Transfer RNA (tRNA) molecules are approximately 80 nucleotides in length. Their secondary structure includes four short double-helical elements and three loops (D, anti-codon, and T loops). The record is from Rfam by way of RNAcentral. Lineage: Eukaryota; Metazoa; Chordata; Mammalia; Rodentia; Sciuridae.